RNAcentral lists this ribosomal RNA (1306 nucleotides) under Kinnara ochracea. RNAcentral's name for it is "eukaryotic LSU rRNA". It matches the Rfam family "Eukaryotic large subunit ribosomal RNA", at positions 1630 to 2635 of the family's 3401-position model. The record is from RNAcentral. Lineage: Eukaryota; Metazoa; Arthropoda; Insecta; Hemiptera; Kinnaridae.
AGCGCUCGUCGGGGUAACCCAAAGUGGCCCGGAGACGCCGGCGGGAGGUCUGGAAAGAGUUUUCUUUUCUUUAUAAGCGUUCAAGUUCCCUGGAAUCCUAUAGCAGGGAGAUAGGGUUUGGAACGCGAAGAGCACCGCAGUUGCGGCGGUGUCCGGACCAUCCCCCCGGACCUUGAAAAUCCGGGUAAGGGCUACGCGGAAUGUCGCGCCGGCUCGUACCCAUAUCCGCAGCAGGUCUCCAAGGUUAAGAGCCUCUAGUCGAUAGAAUAAUGUAGGUAAGGGAAGUCGGCAAAUUGGAUCCGUAACUUCGGAACAAGGAUUGGCUCUGAGGAUCGGGGCGUGUCGGGCUUGGUCGGGAAGCGGGUCUGCGCCAACGUGCCGGGCCUGGGCGAGGGAUAACGUGACUGUCGCUACCCUUUCGAGGGGAACGGCUUGGAUCGGGAACCGAGCUCGGUCCCGUGCCUUGGCCUCCCGCGGAUCUUCCUUGCUGCGGGGUGUCGGUUCACGGUGUGUCCGUGUUGGACCCUUCAGGGGGUACAGCCGGUGCGCCGAGCCGAUUGCAAUCCAUUCGGCCGCCAUUCAACGGUCAACUCAGAACUGGCACGGACCGGGGGAAUCCGACUGUCUAAUUAAAGCAAAGCAUUGCGAUGGCCCCAGCUGGGUGUUUACGCAAUGUGAUUUCUGCCCAGUGCUCUGAAUGUCAACGUGAAGAAAUUCAAGCAAGCGCGGGUAAACGGCGGGAGUAACUAUGACUCUCUUAAGGUAGCCAAAUGCCUCGUCAUCCAAUUAGUGACGCGCAUGAAUGGAUUAACGAGAUUCUCUCUGUCCCUAUCUACUAUCUAGCGAAACCACUGCCAAGGGAACGGGCUUGGAAACAUCAGCGGGGAAAGAAGACCCUGUUGAGCUUGACUCUAGUCUGGCACUGUAAGGAGACAUGAGAGGUGUAGCAUAAGUGGGAGGCGUCGUUACGGCUCUCGGGCCAUUCGGCGUUCGACGGUGAAAUACCACUACUUUCAUCGUUUCCUUACUUACUCGGACAGGCGGAGAGCGCGUCCGCGUGGGCAUCCACCCCGUAGGAACGGUGUUCUCGCGCCAAGCGACCGAGGGUUGCAGGCAGCCGGGCGGCGGGUCGCCGUGUCCGACGGUCGCCUUCUACCAGUUUACGGCCUUCGCGGGUCGUAAAUCAUGUGGUCGGCGGACGUUUUCGGCUCCUCGACGGCCCAUAACCGUUCGUAACUGUCGGCAAACACUCCCUCGUGUGAUCCGAUUCGAGGACACAGUCAGGCGGGCAGUGACUGACUUCGUA